Molecule: ribosomal RNA, 466 nt
Filed under: uncultured bacterium
Lineage: Bacteria
Description: bacterial SSU rRNA
Rfam family: Bacterial small subunit ribosomal RNA
Source: RNAcentral
CGCCAGACUCCUACGGGAGGCAGCAGUGAGGAAUAUUGGUCAAUGGGCUUACGCCUGAACCAGCCAAGUCGCGUGAGGGAAGACUGCCCUAUGGGUUGUAAACCUCUUUUGUCAGGGAGCAACGCCGGCUACGUGUAGCCGGACUGAGAGUACCCGAAGAAAAAGCAUCGGCUAACUCCGUGCCAGCAGCCGCGGUAAUACGGAGGAUGUGAGCGUUAUCCGGAUUUAUUGGGUUUAAAGGGUGCGUAGGCGGGCUGUUAAGUCAGCGGUAAAAUGUCGGGGCUCAACCCCGGCCUGCCGUUGAAACUGGCGGCCUCGAGUGGGCGAGAAGUAUGCGGAAUGCGUGGUGUAGCGGUGAAAUGCAUAGAUAUCGCGCAGAACUCCGAUUGCGAAGGCAGCAUGCCGGCUCCACACUGACGCUGAGGCACGAAAGCGUGGGUAUCGAACAGGAUUAGAUACCCUAGUA